ACGGUGCUUCUUCUUCGGAAGAUGUAACCCGGCGGACGGCUCAGUAACACGUGGAUAACUUGCCCUUGGGUCCGGGAUAACCCCUGAGAAAUUGGGGACAAUACCGGAUAGGGCAUCGAUUGCUGGAAUGCGCGAUGUCCAAAAGCUGAGGCGCCCAAGGAUAGGUCUGCGGCCGAUUAGGUUGUUGUUGAUGUAAUGGAUCAACAAGCCUGCAAUCGGUACGGGUUGUGAGAGCAAGAGCCCGGAGAUGGGUUCUGAGAAAAGAACCCAGGUCCUACGGGACGCAUCAGGCGCGAAAACUUUACAAUGUGCGAAAGCACGAUAAGGGAACUCUGAGUGCCUCCUAUGGAGGCUGUUCAGGUGUCUAAAAAGCACUUGAAGUAAGGGCUGGGUAAGACCGGUGCCAGCCGCCGCGGUAACACCGGCAGCCCAAGUGGUAGCCACGAUUAUUGGGUCUAAAGCGUCCGUAGCCGGCCAGGUAAGUUCUUUGGGAAAUUUAACCGCUCAACGGUUAAGCUUUCAGGGAAUACUGCUUGGCUUGGGACCGGGAGAGGUCAGAGGUACUUCAAGGGUAGGGGUGAAAUCCGUUAAUCCUUGAGGGACCACCAGUAGCGAAG
This 617-nucleotide ribosomal RNA is filed under the name uncultured archaeon. RNAcentral describes it as "bacterial SSU rRNA". It matches the Rfam family "Archaeal small subunit ribosomal RNA", at positions 54 to 671 of the family's 1478-position model. The record is from RNAcentral.